This 76-nucleotide transfer RNA is filed under the name Pararhodospirillum photometricum DSM 122. Its description in RNAcentral is "tRNA-Glu". Lineage: Bacteria; Pseudomonadati; Pseudomonadota; Alphaproteobacteria; Rhodospirillales; Rhodospirillaceae. The record is from RNAcentral.
CAAGGAGACCAUCCGUCUGGUCGCCGAUGCCAUGGCCCGGGUGCAGGAUGAAACCGGUCAGGCCAAGCUGUUCUCG